RNAcentral lists this ribosomal RNA (195 nucleotides) under Pasteurella multocida. RNAcentral's name for it is "partial 16S ribosomal RNA". It matches the Rfam family "Bacterial small subunit ribosomal RNA", at positions 1 to 187 of the family's 1533-position model. The record is from RNAcentral. Lineage: Bacteria; Pseudomonadati; Pseudomonadota; Gammaproteobacteria; Pasteurellales; Pasteurellaceae.
GAAUUGAAGAGUUUGAUCAUGGCUCAGAUUGAACGCUGGCGGCAGGCUUAACACAUGCAAGUCGAACGGUAGCAGGAAGAAAGCUUGCUUUCUUUGCUGACGAGUGGCGGACGGGUGAGUAAUGCUUGGGAAUCUGGCUUAUGGAGGGGGAUAACUGUGGGAAACUGCAGCUAAUACCGCGUAUUCUCUGAGGAG